RNAcentral lists this ribosomal RNA (274 nucleotides) under uncultured bacterium. RNAcentral's name for it is "partial 16S ribosomal RNA". It matches the Rfam family "Bacterial small subunit ribosomal RNA", at positions 523 to 796 of the family's 1533-position model. The record is from RNAcentral.
AUACGGAGGGUGCAAGCGUUAUCCGGAUUCAUUGGGUUUAAAGGGUGCGCAGGCGGACUUGUAAGUCAGUGGUGAAAUCCCGGGGCUCAACCUCGGAACUGCCAUUGAUACUGCAAGUCUUGAGUUUGGUUGAAGUGGGCGGAAUGUAGCAUGUAGCGGUGAAAUGCAUAGAUAUGCUACAGAACACCGAUCGCGAAGGCAGCUCACUAAACCAACACUGACGCUCAGGCACGAAAGCGUGGGGAGCGAACAGGAUUAGAAACCCCGGUAGUCC